CNUAACACAUGCAAGUCGAACGGUAACAGGUCUUCGGAUGCUGACGAGCGGCGAACGGGUGAGUAAUACAUCGGAACGUGCCCAAUCGUGGGGGAUAACACAUCGAAAGAUGUGCUAAUACCGCAUAAGAUCUACGGAUGAAAGCGGGGGAUCGCAAGACCUCGCGCGAAUGGAGCGGCCGAUGGCAGAUUAGGUAGUUGGUGGGGUAAAGGCCUACCAAGCCGACGAUCUGUAGCUGGUCUGAGAGGACGACCAGCCACACUGGGACUGAGACACGGCCCAGACUCCUACGGGAGGCAGCAGUGGGGAAUUUUGGACAAUGGGCGCAAGCCUGAUCCAGCAAUGCCGCGUGCAGGAUGAAGGCCUUCGGGUUGUAAACUGCUUUUGUACGGAGCGAAAAGGUUUUCUCUAAUACAGAAGGCCCAUGACGGUACCGUAAGA
Molecule: ribosomal RNA, 441 nt
Filed under: uncultured bacterium
Lineage: Bacteria
Description: bacterial SSU rRNA
Rfam family: Bacterial small subunit ribosomal RNA
Source: RNAcentral